UGCGUCUGGAGCUUCACAUUCUCUGCCCCCCACCCACCGCGCCGGCGCUCCCUUGUCACGCCUCGGGAAGCGCGCACCUGCCAAGCAGGAUGAAUAAUCUGAUAUCAUGUGAAAUGAGGAAAUAAGAAGCUUUCUGCUGACUUCAUUUUGACCCAGGGUCCAAAAGGUGAUGUAAUCCUGUGGCAAGAAGAUUCAAAACUGUGGACUAUCUUGCAAAAAAUACAAGAAGAUAUUGAAAGUUUUCAUGAGUGCCUACCACCUAAUCUCAAACACUAUCAUUCAUAUGUGCCUCAUUGAGCAAAUCUUUAAUGAGGAUCUAUAUGCCAGCAAUAUCUUUUGCUUGGGAGCAGAAACAGAAAGUACAUGAUGGACUUCAUUGAAGGAUGGAGAUUUGGAAGACAUGAAUGGAUGAAGAACCAAGUGCGUGAGGGCACCUAUCAGGAUUAUUGCUGAAAUCCUUAUGGAGUUAACUGGCUGAGAGGAAGGCAAGCAAGCGAGGACUGAUGGGCCCUUGGCACUGUGAGAACAGUGGAGGAGGAGGGAGCAGGGUUCAUAAGGAGGAGCACAAACAGAAAGUUCAGUGGCCCCAAUAAAAAUAACACCAGAAUCUUCCAGAUACUUUCUCCAUAAGGCGAAAAGACGGAGUCUCGCUCUGUUGCCCAGGCUGUAGUUCAGUGGUGCAAUCUCAGCUCACUGCAAGCUCUGCCUCCCGGGUUCAUGCCAUUCUUCUGCCUCAGCCUCCCGAGUAGCUGGGACUACAAGCGCCUGCUACCACGCCUGGCUAAUUUUUUGUAUUUUUUAGUAGAGACGGAGUUUCACCAUGUUAGCCAGGAUGGUCUCGAUCUCCUGACCUUGUGAUCCACCCAUCUCGGCCUCCCAAAGUGCUAGGAUUACAGGCAUGAGCCACCACGCCCAGCCAACUUAUAACUUUUAUAUCAUUAGACACAUGGAAUAUGGGCCUCCGUUUGUACUCUUGCCCUUGGCCCCACAAACGUUAGGGAGAGGCCUGGCUCCUGCAAUGUACUAUUUACCUGUUGUAAAGAAUAGCCCUUCAAAAGUAUUAUUCUAAGUCUGUUUGACAUAAUAGGUCCAAAUUGUAUUACAACAUGGUAAAAAAACAACAAUCCAUUAACAAUCCUCUUUGGAUUUCUAAAAAAGUUUUGGUAGCCUAAACUCUUUCCCCAAUUUUUGAUAUCACUUCAUGUCAUUUUAGAGAGUAAGUUUUCCUGUUUUAUUAAUGUUUAUAUUUAAGCUGAAUUUUCUAAAAGAAUUGUGAGUGUUUUUAUUCUAUUGUGACAUUCAAGGUACGCAGCUGACCCUUGAGUAUAAGUCCCAUCAACUAAGUAAACAUCAAACAUAUCUUCAGUACAUCCCUUUAGAUCUUGACAGUUAUUUAUCACUUUUUCAUAAGUUCCAAAGUUCCAGAUGGUUACUGAUACAUUCAGGCUGACCACUGCUAGAUUUGAGACUUGUCCCACAGAUCUGCACUGUAUCUUCAUACCUUCAUUAAUAGAUCUUUUAUUCUUUUUUUUUUUAAUUUUUUUGGAGACGUGGGUCUCAUUAUGUUGCCCAGGCUGGUCUUGAACUUCUGGCCUCAAGUGAUCCUCCCAACUCAGCCUCCCAAAGUAUUGGAAUUAUAGGUGUGAGCCACUACACCCAGCCUAGAUCUCAAUCAGGUGACACUGAAAAUGUUUGGUCAUAAACCACAGUGAAGGAAGGGGAGGCAGCUGUUAGAUCAUCUGCCUUGACCCACAGUCCUCAUCCAUUUGCACCUUGGCAAGCCCUCUACUACAUCUGAAUCUCGAAAUGGGGGAUAACCUCUUGGGAGAGUCUAUGCUAGUACCCUUCUAGUAGUAGUUUACAAUCUGCCAACAAAUCUUGAAGCCUUAUUUGGUUGAUAUCAAUUUGAGAGGUGGGAGGUUCAGUUUCCAAAGAGUCAGGAAAGAGCAUUCAUCUAGGCUUGAGAAGCCUCCAUUUCCUAACUCAAGAGUUCUGAUUAGGUUGUUGGUUGAGUGACACAAGGCAAUCAUCUCACUUUUCUGUUCCUGAGCUUCUCCUUUUAUAGAAUGUGGGCAGGAGUGUGGAGAGGGAGAAUUUAUUUCAUUUCCUGUUUUCCAAACUUACUAAACUGUGGAAACUUUUUCUUUUGCAGCAUUGGGCAAAACUGAUGUUCUAAGGAACAUUCUUUAGGAAAGGUUAGCCAGAUCCGUGGUUCUCAACAGGCAUGUGGUACACAUUUAAUAAUGUCUGGAGACGUUUUUGGUUGUCACAACUGGGGAUCCAGGGAUGCUGCUAAACAUCCUGCAAUGCCUAGGACAGCCCUCCACAACGGAGAAUUAUCCAACUCAAAAUGCCAAUCAUUCUAAGGGGUUGAAAAACUCUGGACUAUAUGAACUAUCUCAAUUCUCUUUCAACACUAACAUUUAAAUGUGGUGUUUCUUGUUUUUUAAACACACAAAAUUUUAUUUCUGUUUUACACAAAGUCAGCUAUGGGUAUGGAUGAAUCUGCGGACAGUUUUCUUCCAUGUGUUGGCUCCAUAUUUCAGCUGCUUUGAUCUUUUUGACAUCUUAUCAAUGUGUUCUUCUAUGAUUUCCUUGGCAGAGAAAGAGAAAGCAGAGAGAAUCAUGUGCUGGAUCUUAAAUGCUUCUACGUGGAUGUAGUAAAUGUCUCUUCUACUUUUUUUAAAUAAGAAGUGUAUUAAAAUAUAAUCCAUGUAUCAUAUAAUUUACUCAUUUAAGGCAUAAAAUUCGGCUGGGUAUGGUGGCUCACACCUGUAAUCCCAGCACUUUGGGAGGUUGAGGUGGGGUGAAUCUCUUGAGCCCAGGAGUUUGAGACCAGACUGGGCAACAUGGCAAAACCCCAUCUCUACAAAAAAUACAAAAAUUAGCCAGGUGUGGUGGCACGCACCUGUAAUCCCAGCUAUUUGGGAGGUUGAGGUGGGAGUAUUGCUUGAGUUUUGAAGGCAGAGGUUGCAGUGAGCCAAGAUUGUGCCACUGCACUCCAGCCAGGGUGACAGAGUGAGACUGUCUCAAAAAAAAUUUUUCAGCUAAAAUAAAGUGUAAAACUCUGUAGUUUUUAGUGUAUCCACAA
This is a long non-coding RNA of Homo sapiens (human), 3091 nucleotides long. Lineage: Eukaryota; Metazoa; Chordata; Mammalia; Primates; Hominidae. The record is from Ensembl.